This 499-nucleotide ribosomal RNA is filed under the name uncultured Glomeromycotina. RNAcentral's name for it is "partial small subunit ribosomal RNA". It matches the Rfam family "Eukaryotic small subunit ribosomal RNA", at positions 591 to 1092 of the family's 1831-position model. The record is from RNAcentral. Lineage: Eukaryota; Fungi; Glomeromycota.
CCAAUAGCGUAUAUUAAAGUUGUUGCAGUUAAAAAGCUCGUAGUUGAAUUUCGAGAUCAAAUUGUUGGUCGUGCCUCGGUACGUACUGGUAAUUUUGGGUUCUCCCUUCUGAAGAACCAUGAUGUCAUUAAUUUGGCGUCUUGGGGACUCAGGACUGUUACUUUGAAAAAAUUAGAGUGUUUAAAGCAGGCUCGCGCUUGAAUACAUUAGCAUGGAAUAAUGAAAUAGGACGUUUGAUUCUAUUUUGUUGGUUUCUAGGAUCGACGUAAUGAUUAAUAGGGAUAGUUGGGGGCAUUAGUAUUCAAUUGUCAGGGGUGAAAUUCUUGGAUUUAUUGAAGACUAACUACUGCGAAAGCAUUUGCCAAGGAUGUUUUCAUUAAUCAAGAACGAAAGUUAGGGGAUCGAAGACGAUCAGAUACCGUCGUAGUCUUAACCAUAAACUAUGCCGACUAGGGAUCGGAUGAUGUUAAUUUUUUAAUGACUCAUUCGGCGCCUUACG